Long non-coding RNA from Mastomys coucha (southern multimammate mouse), 1544 nucleotides. RefSeq lists it as uncharacterized. The transcript has 2 exons. Lineage: Eukaryota; Metazoa; Chordata; Mammalia; Rodentia; Muridae. The record is from RefSeq and is a predicted model, not a curated record.
UGGUCCAUGCCCCUCCAGCUUCUCUCCCAGACGUCCUUUGCCCCAUCCUUCUCCUCUCCUCAACUCCUGCUCAGCCUUAACACUCCACAAAACAAACAAACAAACAAACAAACAAAAACCCAACAUUUUGUCACACAUAAAUAUAAAAGAAAACUGCCUGGAAGUCCAAGUGUUCUGAAUAUAAAACCAACCUCAGAAUUCCACGAGUCCCAAAUUCUAUUAAGAGUUAUAAAUGACUAAAGAAUAACAUCAUUUUAGUAAAGAUAAGAAACACCCCCAAGGAUAAGUUCUAAGUUUAGGCAUAGUCAUAUUUAGCAAAAUUACAGGCACAAAGGAAUGGAAAUAGAAGCAAUAUUGGUCAAAUGACCACUCCCUUCCUUAGUUUUUUUUUUUUUUAUAGAGUCACCAUUUUAUGAAAACAAUACAUGCAUAUUCAAACAGAUUCAAAACAUGUAAACCAAUUCAAACAAAAAUGCAGAUAAGUUGUGCAGAUAUAAGAUGAAAUAAUGCCAUAAUCAAAAAAUUCUGUCUUGUUUUCUUUUUGACAUUUUUCUAAAACUAAAACAAAAAAUACCCCACAAGAGCACAUACUAGUUCACAAAUUACAUAUUCAAUGUAUAUUCUUUUCUCAUGAAAGGAUAUAUCCCAAGUCCUUACUGCUAUAAACAAUUCUUUGAUGAACUAACCUUUGUACAACCACGCAGUUAUCUCCUUGGAGGUAGAAAUGACAUUCGUGUCAGCUAUUUUUUUCAGUACUAUUAACUAGAAAAGAUGAUUAUUUUUGAAAAAAUACUUCAUUUUUGGGGCUCAAAGCUGACUGGAUUAUCCUAUUUAAAAACAUAGAUAAAUCCCAGCUAGUAUUGUUGUCUGUCUGGUAUUUAAUGUCUCAAAAAAGUAUUUCAAUGCAUGUCAAAGCUUCUUGGAAUAAGAAGACAGAUACUAUCAGUUGUCUGAAUAAUAUCCUUUUUACCUUUCUUGCACAGCCAUGAUUCUAGCAGGAUACUGAUGCAUCCAGCUAAAUUCUUCUACUCCCUCAGACCCCUGGAUGCUGUGAAAGUAACUUUGAUGAUCAGCUUGAUUGGAUUAAGGAACACUUAAGAUUCUUUCUUCUGGUCUUAUCCCCUCCCAGACCCCCCUUUCACAACUUGGGGAAGAGUCUCCUUUUGGCCUGUGCUAUCUGAGGGUUUCCUGGAGCUGCUCCUUGCUGUAGAAGAGGAUCUGGAACUGCGUUAUGAUUGAAGACCUCAGUGCUGAAGGCCAGAGGAUGGUCGGGGAGCUGCAACAGAUAGACAGUGUGCGGCAUUGUACUGCACAGGGAAGGCCAUACCCUGGGAAACUGAGGCACUUAAACAUGAAGAACCCGGAAGUGGAAUUUUGCAGUUACACUUCGACCCAUCCUUCAGAGAGCAAAGUUAAUUUGCAAAUUCAGACACACCAGGGUGCACUUCCAAAUGUUGAACCAUUUCAGAAAGGCCUGAUUGAGCUCUUGAAAGUCUUGCCAGCAUGUGCUUGUCAAGUUUGAGGCUGGCAUAAAGGACUAUAAA